UGGGUUGUGGCUCAGUGGUAGAGCAUCUACGUGGCAUAUAGAAGGUCUCAGGUUCCGUCCCUGGUCAAUCCAG
Molecule: transfer RNA, 73 nt
Filed under: Sphaerodactylus townsendi
Lineage: Eukaryota; Metazoa; Chordata; Lepidosauria; Squamata; Sphaerodactylidae
Description: tRNA-Ala
Rfam family: tRNA
About the family: Transfer RNA (tRNA) molecules are approximately 80 nucleotides in length. Their secondary structure includes four short double-helical elements and three loops (D, anti-codon, and T loops). Further hydrogen bonds mediate the characteristic L-shaped molecular structure. tRNAs have two regions of fundamental functional importance: the anti-codon, which is responsible for specific mRNA codon recognition, and the 3' end, to which the tRNAs corresponding amino acid is attached (by aminoacyl-tRNA synthetases). tRNAs cope with the degeneracy of the genetic code in two manners: having more than one tRNA (with a specific anti-codon) for a particular amino acid; and 'wobble' base-pairing, i.e. permitting non-standard base-pairing at the 3rd anti-codon position.
Source: RNAcentral